GGGUUGUGAGGUUAAGCGACUAAGCGUACACGGUGGAUGCCCUGGCAGUCAGAGGCGAUGAAGGGCGUGCUAAUCUGCGAUAAGCGCCGGUAAGGUGAUAUGAACCGUUAUAACCGGCGAUACCCGAAUGGGGAAACCCAGUGUGACUCGUCACACUAUCAUUAACUGAAUCCAUAGGUUAAUGAGGCGAACCGGGGGAACUGAAACAUCUAAGUACCCCGAGGAAAAGAAAUCAACCGAGAUUCCCCCAGUAGCGGCGAGCGAACGGGGAGGAGCCCAGAGCCUGAAUCAGCAUGUGUGUUAGUGGAAGCGUCUGGAAAGGCGCGCGAUACAGGGUGACAGCCCCGUACACAAAAGCGCAUGUGCUGUGAGCUCGAUGAGUAGGGCGGGACACGUGGUAUCCUGUCUGAAUAUGGGGGGACCAUCCUCCAAGGCUAAAUACUCCUGACUGACCGAUAGUGAACCAGUACCGUGAGGGAAAGGCGAAAAGAACCCCGGCGAGGGGAGUGAAAAAGAACCUGAAACCGUGUACGUACAAGCAGUGGGAGCCCCACCACCAAAGCAUUUGCUGUACCGCGUUGACGGAGCGAAGCGACGUCAAACCGAUAAAACAGCAGUGUAAAGUGAGCCGCAGGGCGCUUUGCG
RNAcentral lists this ribosomal RNA (645 nucleotides) under Salmonella enterica subsp. enterica serovar Enteritidis. RNAcentral's name for it is "partial 23S ribosomal RNA". It matches the Rfam family "Bacterial large subunit ribosomal RNA", at positions 1 to 601 of the family's 2925-position model. Lineage: Bacteria; Pseudomonadati; Pseudomonadota; Gammaproteobacteria; Enterobacterales; Enterobacteriaceae. The record is from RNAcentral.